UACGUAGGGGGCAAGCGUUGUCCGGAUUUAUUGGGCGUAAAGAGCGUGUAGGCGGCUGGGUAGGUCCGUUGUGAAAACUCGAGGCUCAACCUCGAGACGCCGAUGGAAACCCUCCAGCUAGAGUCCGGAAGAGGAGAGUGGAAUUCCUGGUGUAGCGGUGAAAUGCGUAGAGAUCGGCAGGAACACCCAGGGGGAAACCAGUCGACUGGGCAUCUACUGACGCUGAGGUGCGAGAGCGUGGGGAGCGAACCGG
Molecule: ribosomal RNA, 253 nt
Filed under: uncultured bacterium
Lineage: Bacteria
Description: partial 16S ribosomal RNA
Rfam family: Bacterial small subunit ribosomal RNA
Source: RNAcentral